This 606-nucleotide ribosomal RNA is filed under the name Oscillatoria tenuis NTAS 06. RNAcentral describes it as "bacterial SSU rRNA". It matches the Rfam family "Bacterial small subunit ribosomal RNA", at positions 111 to 753 of the family's 1533-position model. The record is from RNAcentral. Lineage: Bacteria; Bacillati; Cyanobacteriota; Cyanophyceae; Oscillatoriales; Oscillatoriaceae.
CAUACCGUGAGAAUCUACCUUCAGGUCGGGGAUAACCCCUGGAAACGGGGGCUAAUACCGGAUAGGUCGAAAGAUGAAAGGUUAACUGCCUGAAGAGGAGCUCGCGUCUGAUUAGCUAGUAGGUGUGGUAAGAGCGCACCUAGGCGACGAUCAGUAGCUGGUCUGAGAGGAUGAGCAGCCACACUGGGACUGAGACACGGCCCAGACUCCUACGGGAGGCAGCAGUGGGGAAUUUUCCGCAAUGGGCGAAAGCUGACGGAGCAAGACCGCGUGGGGGAGGAAGGCCUUUGGGUUGUAAACCCCUUUUGUUAGGGAAGAAAAAAAUGACGGUACCUAACGAAUCAGCCUCGGCUAAUCCGUGCCAGCAGCCGCGGUAAUACGGAGGAGGCAAGCGUUAUCCGGAAUUAUUGGGCGUAAAGCGUCCGUAGGUGGCCCGGCAAGUCUGCUGUCAAAGACCACAGCUCAACUGUGGAAAGGCAGUGGAAACUGCAAGGCUAGAGUGCGGUAGGGGUAGAGGGAAUUCCCAGUGUAGCGGUGAAAUGCGUAGAGAUUGGGAAGAACACCGGUGCGAAAGCGCUCUACUGGGCCGCAACUGACACUGAUGGA